Molecule: ribosomal RNA, 186 nt
Filed under: uncultured eukaryote
Lineage: Eukaryota
Description: partial 18S ribosomal RNA
Rfam family: Eukaryotic small subunit ribosomal RNA
Source: RNAcentral
UGGUGGAGUGAUUUGUCUGGUUAAUUCCGAUAACGAACGAGACUCUGUCCUGCUAACUAGGUUGUGUUUUCUCGGGUUGGUGUUUCUGGUGUUCCUUCUCGGGGCGCCGGCCCAAUCCACUUGUGAGCACAACACUCUUCUUAGAGGGACUGGCGGCUGUUAGCCGCACGAGAUAGAGCAAUAACA